RNAcentral lists this ribosomal RNA (1397 nucleotides) under bacterium. RNAcentral describes it as "bacterial SSU rRNA". It matches the Rfam family "Bacterial small subunit ribosomal RNA". The record is from RNAcentral.
UGCAGUCGAACGAUGAUGCCCAGCUUGCUGGGCGGAUUAGUGGCGAACGGGUGAGUAAUACGUGAGUAACCUGCCCUUGACUCUGGGAUAAGCCUGGGAAACUGGGUCUAAUACUGGAUACUACCUCUUACCGCAUGGUGGGUGGUGGAAAGGGUUUUACUGGUUUUGGAUGGGCUCACGGCCUAUCAGCUUGUUGGUGGGGUAAUGGCUCACCAAGGCGACGACGGGUAGCCGGCCUGAGAGGGUGACCGGCCACACUGGGACUGAGACACGGCCCAGACUCCUACGGGAGGCAGCAGUGGGGAAUAUUGCACAAUGGGCGGAAGCCUGAUGCAGCGACGCCGCGUGAGGGAUGACGGCCUUCGGGUUGUAAACCUCUUUCAGUAGGGAAGAAGCGAGAGUGACGGUACCUGCAGAAGAAGCGCCGGCUAACUACGUGCCAGCAGCCGCGGUAAUACGUAGGGCGCAAGCGUUGUCCGGAAUUAUUGGGCGUAAAGAGCUCGUAGGCGGUUUGUCGCGUCUGCUGUGAAAGCCCGGGGCUCAACCCCGGGUCUGCAGUGGGUACGGGCAGACUAGAGUGCAGUAGGGGAGACUGGAAUUCCUGGUGUAGCGGUGAAAUGCGCAGAUAUCAGGAGGAACACCGAUGGCGAAGGCAGGUCUCUGGGCUGUUACUGACGCUGAGGAGCGAAAGCAUGGGGAGCGAACAGGAUUAGAUACCCUGGUAGUCCAUGCCGUAAACGUUGGGCACUAGGUGUGGGGGACAUUCCACGUUUUCCGCGCCGUAGCUAACGCAUUAAGUGCCCCGCCUGGGGAGUACGGCCGCAAGGCUAAAACUCAAAGGAAUUGACGGGGGCCCGCACAAGCGGCGGAGCAUGCGGAUUAAUUCGAUGCAACGCGAAGAACCUUACCAAGGCUUGACAUUCACCGGACCGCCCCAGAGAUGGGGUUUCCCUUCGGGGCUGGUGGACAGGUGGUGCAUGGUUGUCGUCAGCUCGUGUCGUGAGAUGUUGGGUUAAGUCCCGCAACGAGCGCAACCCUCGUUCUAUGUUGCCAGCACGUGAUGGUGGGGACUCAUAGGAGACUGCCGGGGUCAACUCGGAGGAAGGUGGGGAUGACGUCAAAUCAUCAUGCCCCUUAUGUCUUGGGCUUCACGCAUGCUACAAUGGCCGGUACAAAGGGUUGCGAUACUGUGAGGUGGAGCUAAUCCCAAAAAGCCGGUCUCAGUUCGGAUUGAGGUCUGCAACUCGACCUCAUGAAGUCGGAGUCGCUAGUAAUCGCAGAUCAGCAACGCUGCGGUGAAUACGUUCCCGGGCCUUGUACACACCGCCCGUCAAGUCACGAAAGUUGGUAACACCCGAAGCCGGUGGCCUAACCCCUUGUGGGAGGGAGCCGUCGAA